This 28-nucleotide small RNA is filed under the name Bombyx mori (domestic silkworm). RNAcentral describes it as "ovarian small RNA-26768". The record is from RNAcentral. Lineage: Eukaryota; Metazoa; Arthropoda; Insecta; Lepidoptera; Bombycidae.
UCCAGAUAUGCCUUGAUGACUAGGAAUC